This 477-nucleotide ribosomal RNA is filed under the name uncultured bacterium. Its description in RNAcentral is "partial 16S ribosomal RNA". It matches the Rfam family "Bacterial small subunit ribosomal RNA", at positions 28 to 507 of the family's 1533-position model. The record is from RNAcentral.
GAUGAACGCUGGCGGCGUGCCUAAUACAUGCAAGUCGAGCGAACGGACGAGAAGCUUGCUUCUCUGAUGUUAGCGGCGGACGGGUGAGUAACACGUGGAUAACCUACCUAUAAGACUGGGAUAACUUCGGGAAACCGGAGCUAAUACCGGAUAAUAUUUUGAACCGCAUGGUUCAAAAGUGAAAGACGGUCUUGCUGUCACUUAUGGAUGGAUCCGCGCUGCAUUAGCUAGUUGGUAGGGUAGCGGCUUACCAAGGCAACGAUGCAUAGCCGGCCUGAGAGGGUGACCGGGCACAUUGGGACUGAGAUACGGGACAGACUGCUACGGGAGGCAGGAGUGGGGAAUAUUGCACAAUGGGCGGAAGCCUGAUGCAGCAACGCCGCGUGCGGGAUGACGGCCUUCGGGUUGUAAACCGCUUUCGACUGUGACGAAGCGUGAGUGACGGUAAUGGGUAAAGAAGCACCGGCUAACUACGUG